Molecule: transfer RNA, 71 nt
Filed under: Cordylochernes scorpioides
Lineage: Eukaryota; Metazoa; Arthropoda; Arachnida; Pseudoscorpiones; Chernetidae
Description: tRNA-Asp
Source: RNAcentral
UGCAUCGGCCGGGAAUCGAACCUGGGCCGCCCGUGUGAUGGACGAGCAUUCUACCACUGAACCACCGAUGG